CAGCAGCCGCGGUAAUACGUAGGUGGCAAGCGUUGUCCGGAAUUAUUGGGCGUAAAGGGCUCGCAGGCGGUUUCUUAAGUCUGAUGUGAAAGCCCCCGGCUCAACCGAGGAGGGUCAUUGGAAACUGGGAAACUUGAGUGCAGAAGAGGAGAGUGGAAUUCCACGUGUAGCGGUGAAAUGCGUAGAGAUGUGGAGGAGCACCAGUGGCGAAGGCGACUCUCUGGUCUGUAACUGACGCUGAGGAGCGAAAGCGUGGGGAGCGAACAGGAUUAGAUACCCCUGUAGUCCCUGUCUCUUAUAC
RNAcentral lists this ribosomal RNA (301 nucleotides) under uncultured bacterium. Its description in RNAcentral is "partial 16S ribosomal RNA". It matches the Rfam family "Bacterial small subunit ribosomal RNA", at positions 509 to 807 of the family's 1533-position model. The record is from RNAcentral.